Molecule: long non-coding RNA, 243 nt
Filed under: Elaeis guineensis (African oil palm)
Lineage: Eukaryota; Viridiplantae; Streptophyta; Magnoliopsida; Arecales; Arecaceae
Description: long non-coding RNA (EGUI_LNC019162)
Source: RNAcentral
AUAUGGUAGAUCAAAGUCAACCUAAGAAUUUCUCCUCUAAUUGACGUCUACUCUUUUUAGGCUAUUAAAAGCUACUUUAUCUCCAAGCUAGUUGUUAGCAACAUGGAACAAAAGAAAAGACAAAAGUGAAAGGCCUACCAAAGAAUGGUGACACGACCAAUGCGCACAAAAUUGUUGAUCAAUGGAUUGGAACAAGUAUCCAAAGCCAAAUUGGAACCGUCCCACGUGACGAUGGCCCACUUA